GAGGUCAAGCAAAUCCCAUAAAGUUGUUCUCAGUUCGGAUUGUAGUCUGCAACUCGACUACAUGAAGCUGGAAUCGCUAGUAAUCGUAGAUCAGCAUGCUACGGUGAAUACGUUCCCGGGUCUUGUACACACCGCCCGUCACACCACGAGAGUUUGUAACACCCGAAGCCGGUGGAGUAACCUUUGAGGAGCUAGCCGUCGAAGGUGGGACAAAUGAUUGGGGUGAAGUCGUAACAAGGUAGCCGUAUCGGAAGGUGCGGCUGGAUCACCUCCUUUCUAAGGA
Molecule: ribosomal RNA, 283 nt
Filed under: Staphylococcus aureus
Lineage: Bacteria; Bacillati; Bacillota; Bacilli; Caryophanales; Staphylococcaceae
Description: partial 16S ribosomal RNA
Rfam family: Bacterial small subunit ribosomal RNA
Source: RNAcentral